RNAcentral lists this non-coding RNA (45 nucleotides) under Schistosoma curassoni. Lineage: Eukaryota; Metazoa; Platyhelminthes; Trematoda; Strigeidida; Schistosomatidae. The record is from RNAcentral.
AUGCAGCUGACGAGUCCCAAAUAGGACGAGACGCUCGUUCUAAAU